CGCGUAGGCGGGCAUUCAAGUCAGGGGUGAAAUCUUUCGGCUCAACCGGAAUAGUGCCUCUGAUACUGGGUGUCUUGAGGGAGGUAGGGGCGUGUGGAACCUCCGGUGGAGCGGUGAAAUGCGUAGAUAUCGGAAGGAACGCCGGUGGCGAAAGCGACGCGCUGGACCUCUUCUGACGCUGAGGCGCGAAAGCCAGGGGAGCAAACGGGAUUAGAUACCCCGGUAGUCCUGGCCCUAAACGUUGGGUACUAGGUAGUGGACUUGACAUGGGUUCACUGCCGAAGCAAAAGUGUUAAGUACCCCGCCUGGGGAGUAUGGUCGCAAGGCUGAA
RNAcentral lists this ribosomal RNA (331 nucleotides) under uncultured bacterium. RNAcentral's name for it is "bacterial SSU rRNA". It matches the Rfam family "Bacterial small subunit ribosomal RNA", at positions 568 to 898 of the family's 1533-position model. The record is from RNAcentral.